This 853-nucleotide long non-coding RNA is filed under the name Gossypium barbadense (sea-island cotton). RNAcentral describes it as "long non-coding RNA (GBAR_LNC023344)". The record is from RNAcentral. Lineage: Eukaryota; Viridiplantae; Streptophyta; Magnoliopsida; Malvales; Malvaceae.
AAACCCAAUAAAUACAAAACCAAAUAAAAUAAAUUCUAAAUAAUAAAAACAGUUUAAUUUCUUUACAAAUUUAGCCCAAAAAUAAAACUAUUUUAGCCCAUCUAAAUUACUCAACACCAUACCCAAAUAUUAGCCCAAACCCGAGCCCAAAAUGCUCUAACCCAGUUCAUAGGGCCCGAUUCAAAAUGAAACCCUAGCCUUCAAACAAUUUUCAGCUCCAGCCGCCGCACGAGGAAACUGGUUCGUCCGCGCGAGUGCCAGCAGUCUUCGACGCCAGAUCCACGCGCUCCAUUUCCAGGCUGGAUGGGCACCUGCAACAAACAAAUGCAAGAGAAAUAGAAACAAACAGUACCCACGGAAAAAAAACGAAAACGGAUAACAAACAAAAAGGGCAACAGAAAAAGAAAAUAGAAAAAAUAGCAGAGAAAAAUAUAUGUAUUUUGAUUCUUUUUUUUUUGUAUUUAUUUUUUCUUUUCUAUUCGAUUCGGCUAUAUAAAGCCAGUUCCAACGUUGUAAAAGGGGGACGAUAUUCUGGCUAUAUAAAACCAUUUUCAUUAUUUGUAAAAGGGGGUCCGGUUUUUUUUAAAAAAAAUCAAUAAAAAGGAAAAAAAACGAUGAACAAAAGAAGGUGAUUCUUCAUUUUUUCUUUUCUCUGUUACUUUGAGAUUUGUUUUCUUUACUAGCAAAAUAGAAGAGAAAUACGAGAGGGGCUUACCUGUGUUUCAGAACUGACGAGUCGUCGAGUCCUGGUCGGCUUCGUUGUGAUCGGAGAUCAAAAGGGACGGAGUUUUCAUUGCGGCACGAUUUUGAUUGAAAGGGGGCUAGGGUUUUUAGUUUGUUUCUUUUCGUUUCU